Molecule: ribosomal RNA, 802 nt
Filed under: uncultured bacterium
Lineage: Bacteria
Description: bacterial SSU rRNA
Rfam family: Bacterial small subunit ribosomal RNA
Source: RNAcentral
AGAGUUUGAUCCUGGCUCAGGAUGCAUUCUGGCGGCGUGCUUAACACAUGCAAGUCGAACGGGAAUUACUUUAUUGAAACUUCGGUCGAUUUAAUUUAAUUCUAGUGGCGGACGGGUGAGUAACACGUGGGUAACCUGCCUUAUACAGGGGGAUAACAGUCAGAAAUGGCUGCUAAUACCGCAUAAGCGCACAGAGCUGCAUGGCUCAGUGUGAAAAACUCCGGUGGUAUAAGAUGGACCCGCGUUGGAUUAGCUUGUUGGUGGGGUAACGGCCCACCAAACCGACGAUCAGUAGCCGGCCUGAGAGGGCGACCGGCCACAUUGGGACUGAGACACGGCCCAAACUCCUACGGGAGGCAGCAGUGGGGAAUAUUGCACAAUGGGGGAAACCCUGAUGCAGCGACGCCGCGUGAGCGAAGAAGUAUUUCGGUAUGUAAAGCUCUAUCAGCAGGGAAGAUAAUGACGGUACCUGACUAAGAAGCCCCGGCUAACUACGUGCCAGCAGCCGCGGUAAUACGUAGGGGGCAAGCGUUAUCCGGAUUUACUGGGUGUAAAGGGAGCGUAGACGGCAAGGCAAGUCUGAUGUGAAAACCCAGGGCUUAACCCUGGGACUGCAUUGGAAACUGUCUGGCUCGAGUGCCGGAGAGGUAAGCGGAAUUCCUAGUGUAGCGGUGAAAUGCGUAGAUAUUAGGAAGAACACCAGUGGCGAAGGCGGCUUACUGGACGGUAACUGACGUUGAGGCUCGAAAGCGUGGGGAGCAAACAGGAUUAGAUACCCUGGUAGUCCACGCCGUAAACGAUG